Triticum aestivum (bread wheat) is the source of this 3634-nucleotide long non-coding RNA. RefSeq lists it as uncharacterized. Lineage: Eukaryota; Viridiplantae; Streptophyta; Magnoliopsida; Poales; Poaceae. The transcript has 2 exons. The record is from RefSeq and is a predicted model, not a curated record.
ACGAUUUCACAUAGACAGGAUUUUUUACGGUGCUGUCAAAGUCCUGGCUGUUGGUCCUUGUUGACUCCUUUAUUUUGCUUUUUCGUGCAUGACAGGUGGGCCUCAAAUGUCCCCGGGCCCAGCGUCUCGUGUGUGUCCCGUGUGCGUCCUGGGUAAGAGAAGGAGAGAAGUGGGGGUGCACGGUGAAAACCUAGUCACCAAUCCCUCGCAUCCCUGAACAGCCAAUCCGCCCGCUCCCCUCUUCCCCUGCCCUCCUCUACGCCGCCGCCUCCUCCCCUUCCCUCCUCUGCGCCGCCUCCUCCUCCCCUUCUCCCCUGCUUUCCACCGCCUCCUCCUCCCCUGCUCUCCACUGCACCGCCUCCUCCUCCCCUUCACUUUUCUCUCCUGGGGCGGCGACAACCUACAGGCAAAAGGCGACGGCGAUGUCGCUCAAUUUGAUCUGCAGGAGAGAGAGAAGGAAGGAGAGGAGGGAGAAAGGAAGAGGAAAGAGAAAAGGGAGGUGCGGCGACGGAUGGGUGAGGGUCACCGGAAGGAGCGCCGCCGGCUCGUCGCCUUUCACACCGAGGUGGAGCAAAUAUGCCUCUGUACAGCCCUCAUGCUCGCAGGGGCCUUGCGAGAAGUGGAAGGUAGAGGUCGUACGCCAGCCGGAGCAACAGGAGCAAGGAUCUGGCGUCAUCUGCCUCCCGGUUGCACAACACCACUGCAUCUCCUUCCUGUUGUUGUUGGUGGCAUCCGCCUCUCAGUUGCAUGCUGCCACUGCAUCUCCUUCCUGUUUUAUUUUUAGAUUUUACAUGUUCAGCUAUAGGUUGGCUUGAUCUCUUGUGUCGGGGAGGUGCGAGGUUAGGCAUUUAGGCAAUGGCAGCCACAGUUUCAGUGAAGGAUGUCCAUGCCAUGUGCAAUGAGGGAUAGGCCAUCAGCACAACCGUAUGCGUGUUUUAGUUUUCCUUAUUUUCCUAAUUUUAGUUCUCUACGGUCUUCUAUUUUUAUUUUUAUUGUUCUUAUUUUGUAUAGGUCCUUUGGGUCCUGAUGAAAGUCACUGUCGGUGGCAGGGAAUUCGUCACCGGAUGCGUCCUAUAUGUGGUGAUGAUCUCCUACUUUCUUUUCUUGACUUGUGUUUUGUUCUUCCUUUUUGUCCAACUUAGUAAUCGUGCUCUUGCUUUUCCUUUCGUCUCCGUUGUAGAUGGGUGUGUUCCCAUCUAGUCGUUGGUGAGAAACGAUUUCUUCUAGGCCAGUGGUGUUCCUUUGUGCUAUAGCCAGUGCGCUAUCUCCUAGGUAGUAGUUGUUUUCUUCCACUACCUACAUGUACUCCUUAGGGCUCCUUUGAUUGGAAGGAUUUUCAUAGGAAUGGAGGAGGAUUUGAAUCCUUAGGAUUUUUUUUUCCUAUGUUGGUUGUUUGAUUCAGGGAUACCUAUUUUAUCUUUCAUUUGCCCUUCUGCUCUCCUAUUACCACUAUCUUUCCCGAGUGUGUGCCCUUGCUUUAUGACAUCUUUCACUUAGGGAGCAGUUUACUUCAUUGGCUUAUUCCUUGCGUUUGAGCUGGUCAUUGUUUGUAGCUAGAGUCAGUGGAAUAAUGAAACCAUUUUAGAUUUGAAUUUACUCUGCAUUUAAAGUGAUGUUGAACUCUGGGUGAUGAGAUCGAUCGUUGAGCUUGAGGAGGUCUGAAUUCAUUUUUUUUUCAAUUCUAAUUUAGUCCAGCCUUUUAAACAAUCAUUGUUACUUCACAAUAAAUUUGAUUAUUUUUACUUUUUUGUCCUUGUUGUAGUGUUUAGGUCUUUGAAAAUUCACUACUAUUUGUUUCUGAAGAUAAGAUUUACACAUCUUCGAAGUUGCACUUCCAUGGUACUUCGCUUUUGGUUUUAACCAUAAGAGCAUCAGCAUCAGCCAGGAGCUAGGCCUACCUCUCAUUUAUGUUUUGUUCAUGUAAAUGCCCCUCUUUCACUCUUAUUACAUUUAUCUUGGUGUGAGUCAUGAGAUUCUUUUCAGGUGAUAUCAGUCUAUAUGUUUACCAAAUCAAUUUUCCAAUCUAUUUUUCCCUGCCAAGGCUUCAACUUGCCCAAUACAUUAUAGAAAGCAAUAUUAGAUAGGGAUAAAUGUAAAGGCUUGUGCCGCUGCCUGUGGGUCUAGGUGCCUACGUGUCUAUGUUGCUAUGGAGGCUCAUCGCUUGCUCUAUGUCUAAAACAAUCGCAUGUGUUACUGUUUCUUCCUCCCUGCCCCUUCUCUUACCAGCCAAGCUCAUCAGUCCUUCCCGCCUCACCCUCCUUUCACUCCCUCGCUUCGUCUCUCGCUCGCUCUGUCUGCAACUCGUCUACGGAUAUAUGUGUCUGGAUUUAGUUGAUACUCCUACUGUGUUUCAGACGUGGUGUUCUUUCUUGAAUAAAUUAGCAGAUGCUUGCUUCUGUUAAUUAGAGCUCUUGCAUUAGGAGUACUACGCUGUGCUUGCAUGCAAUUCUCUUGGUUUAAACAGCAGCAGUGCCCAGUCAACAAUUAGUAGAAGUGGUUAUGAGAUGAGGCAAAGGAGAGCAGAGAGGGCCAGCCGUCGUAUAUGCAAUGCAUGGAAGUGGCUAAUGAUUCCAUUCAAGUAAUGAAUGAAUAGUAGUUGCUAAUUCUAUUAUAGUGAUUACAAGCAUAGUUGACCUAUCGUCUGUGUGGUGUGGUUGUUAUACACACUCUUUACAUUUGUGUUUUCCCCUUCUAGCUUUCAUAUGCGUGCUUCCAAUGUACAUACGUCUGGGUUCAUCUCCGCCCUAGAUGCCCGUGGCUUUCCCUCUUUUGGUGCGGUUUAGAAAUAGAGAGUUGAAUGAUAGGAAAAACAGACAGAAGAGUGAAAAUUAUGUGGCUGCAUUGCUGAUGAAUUUUACAAUCUGAAGUUAUUGCUUAUGGAUACCAGUAUUACAUUGGCAUUGGUUUUUAGAUCUGCUUGUUCUUACCUCUUUGCCUAUAUGCUCUAUAGGGGAGCUUUUAUUCUCUGUUUGAACUGUGAUUUCUGAAUUUGGUUUCUUACUAAAGAAAUAACUAAAGCUUUGCUUUCUUCGAAAAAGAAGCUUUGCUGCUGCACACUAUUUUCUUGCCUUUCCUUGAAGAUGAUUAUAUUGAUUAGUUGCGGGCUUUUAUCUCUCUACGUUUUUUGCCUCUGUUUCCAGGUUAUUUCAUAUAAAGCCAUGAACCUAGCAUGAACUCGAAAUAUGAACCAUUGUAUAUGAAGAUGCUAUCUGAGUACGUAUUUGCAUGUUCGUAGAUCUACUACAUAUGCUUUAUUAUGUAUAAAUAUGCCAUGUAAGUAUCUACCUUUAGGUCAUUAUUGCUUGCACAUAUAAUGGUUCCAGUAUCUGGUUUGAUUUUGUUUUUAUGUGUGAACAGAACCUAUCAUGGAGGAGGUUGACAUCACAGACAAGUUCAUGCUUGAGGUCAUUUUCAUUAAGCCGCAGCUCGCACAACCACUAUUUUUACUACUGCAAAGUUGGACAGAGUUUUGCAUAACAAUCAAGUUCCGUACCAGCACGCGGCAUCAGCGACAUGAUGCUGAAGCAAUGGCACUAUCCGGAAAUUCAUCUAAUUCCAUAGAAGUUGCAACGGAUGUUGCAGCGGCUCGAGUUAUCAGAUACAUGGAGGCUGUGUGUGCCAAGGUGCUCAAGGA